Molecule: long non-coding RNA, 989 nt
Filed under: Amphibalanus amphitrite
Lineage: Eukaryota; Metazoa; Arthropoda; Thecostraca; Balanomorpha; Balanidae
Description: uncharacterized LOC122381625
Source: RNAcentral
UCGGGCGGAACCGACACAUGGCGUGGUCGGUAUUAGCUCGAACCCGCCCAUAGUGAGUACAAAGUGCGAUUAACGAAAGUGAAAGGAAGCAGGAAUGCGUAGCCGUGGCGGCCGCGCCGCAACCACGACCGCGUUCGAGUCUCUUCGGAGAGGCGCGCCCGCAGCGACGCCAGCUGUAUCGCUAGUUGGUCGAGUCGCAGCUGUGACAUCAGGACGUAGUCGUCCCAUCUCUCCUUCCAGAGGUAGAAGGCGUCACUGCGGUCGGUGGAGAUGUCCAGUCGGUCAGGCCGGAUCGGCUGCAGGCUCGUCAUACCACAGCGAUUACGAAGGACUGUUCUAGAAGCCCUCCACGCCAGCCACCUGGGGAAGGAGAAAACGAAGGCCCGCGCAAGACAGAUCGUCUACUGGCCCGGGAUCUAACGGGAUGUGGAAAAUAUCACCCGCUGCUGUACCAGCUGCCAGAGAGAUCUACUCGCUCAGCAGCAAGAGACCAUGAUGAGGAGACCGCCAGCGGAAAGGCCGUUCGAACAACACAUCGACUUUGCCGAUCACGCAGGCAGGAAGUACCUCGUGGCAGUGGACAGAUACUCCGGGUGGCUGUUUGUCGCCGACCUCGGUGUAAGCGCCCCCGCUUACACCGGUCCGAAGGACGAUAGCAGGCGUCAUGACGGGCGCACUCGCUACGCGACUUAGCGUAAAUGGACGGCACGGGAAAAGGGCUUUCGGCGGUACCCGGCUUUUUGAUGUCGUGUUCAGAGCCGUGCGGCGGAACGGGCUUACCCAGGACACCAACAACGGCCAGCUGGAGGUGGCGCCACGAAAGUGGUUUACGGGUGCCAGGAACCGCGACGGAGGCCGCCAGGAGAGGACACCAGCUGGAGUUUAAGCGGAGGAGCAGAUGAGAGAAGAAGUCUAGAGAUGAACAGAAGAGAGGAGAGAGUUUAAACAGCAUUUUUGUGUUUAUCGAUAAUAUAAAUAUUGAUCACUGA